AUGUAGAAAAAGGAAAUAUAAAUAUAAAUAUAAAUAUAAAUAUGGAUAUGUAUUUAUAUUUUUUUAUCUGAAAGAAGCAGAAGACCUAUUUUUAUCUAUUGAGGAUUUAAGGAACCUUCAAAUUUAUCGUCUCUGCCAGAUUUAGGGGUUUAGAAAAUUGAUUUAGUGAAAGGGUGGGUCGCUUGUCAAGGUUGGAUCUUUGAUAAGAUUUGUUGCGGUGAGGUAUAUCUGCUCUUAGGUUUUAGCUCAGCCUAUUUUUCACUAUAACCCUGGCGCAUGUUUCUAUCUCUGUUUGGUUCCCGAGAAAAUUGAGGAAAGCGAUGGAAAUUCCAUUUUGAGGACACUAUUUUUUUGUUAAUUUUGAAGCUUGACAUCGAGCAGAAUUUAUCUGGACCUCAGAUACUUUGUACAAUCAAGUCUGUGGAAAAAUGCCUCGGGAUUUGUCGCGAUCGCGAUCACCCUCAUAUAGGCGAAGGCGUUCGCCAUCACCGUUGGGGCAUAGGUAUAGCCGAAGGGACAGGAGCCGAAGGGACAGGAGCCGAUCUCCUUAUUCAUCCUAUUCUUAUAGCAGGUGAUCCCGUUUAUGUUCUCUCUAUUUAAGUUGAUCUAAUUUUAUCCUCAAGAAGAAUUGUAAGAAACAUUGACGACUCAUGUAUUUGUGUUGCCGAUUGGAAAUACAAAUUGUUCAAGUUGAUCUGUACGCAUCUUAUCCUUCUCCAUUGAUCUUUUGGUGCUUAUAUAUCCUUUGUUUUUUCUCUCCCUAUUAUGCAUGUUCUCUAUAUCAUUUUUCUCAAGUUUUAUCUUGAAUGACAUCUGAAUUUGAUUUUAUUAACUUAAAAAGUUAAGUUAGACAACUUGACUGCCAACUUAAGGCAUUGGUAUCAUUUUAAAAUCCCAUUAUGCAGAACUUGGUCUUGUUAUCUUGAUAAAUGCAUUUUUGGCCUUCAUUUUUAAUCUUACUGUAGUUAAAAACAUUUUGCAACUUCUCUUUUUUACAUAGGGACUACAUAUGUGAUUCUAAAAUUCCUGUGUUGUAACACAUAUUUAGUAUUUCAAAGUUCAACUGAUAAUCAAUGUUAACUAUCAAUAUCUCGAUCGGCUUCUGCUUUUGGGGAGCUUGCAAUUUGCAUGGAAAAGUGGAGAGAUGCCAAAAAAUAUUCUUUUGGAGAGAAGUACAAAGAGUGCUUUAAGAGUGCCAUAGGAUUCAUGCUCUUUGUAAGAAAUUUAAAAAACUCAGGUUCUUCUCAUCAUAUGGGAUGGGAAGUGAGCAGGUGAUGGGUGCCGAUGGGUGUCCUUUUGUUGCUCGAUUGUGAUAUUAGCUUCUUCAUGUGAUAAAAGAUGGAGCACACAAUGGUUAUUCUUAACAUUGUAUGAGGUAACUGUAUUGCUUCUAUUUUAAUUGCGAUAAAUGGUGGGAGGCUUUGAAUUUAUUAUGUAUGCUAAUUGUGCGCUUUUCAUUGUUGUUACUCAAUAAUUUCUUUAUAUUACACAGACGAAGAAGUCGUUCUAUUUCUCCACGACGUCGCAAAAGUCGUUCUCCAACUCCAAGGCGUUAUAAGAGGCAAAGAAGUAGGAGUUCGUCAUUGUCUCCUACUCUUAAAUCUUCUAGCCCAAGUCUUGGAUCAAUGGAGCGCAAAAUUGUUAGUGAAAAAUUGAGAAAAGAAGAUGAAGAAGAGAAGAAGAGGAGGUAAGUGAACAUGUGGCGUGGAUUUAAACACAAUAUUGCUGGUAAUUGCUUUAGAUUGGCCUUGUACUGGAGUGAAAAUAAUAGGUAAUUUUGAUAAUUUAUUGCUUUAUAUAAAUUCUUUAUGUGCUGCUAGACCUUUAUAUCUGUACCUAUCCCCCACCAAAAAAAGGUGCAAAAUUUAAUGUUUUUUAUUUAUGAUAUACUGUGCAGUAUCAAUGUCAUUGCUGCAUCAUUUCCCUACUUCAAUACUAUUGAAGAACUAUACUUCAACAGAAGCAUUUUGGUCCACUAAUUAUGAGUAAAUUCAUUAACUAUUUAGACAUAAUAAGAUGAACUUCAUUCUUUUCUUUUCCUGAUGCCUUCAAUCUAACCUCCUGUUUAUUGUUAUUAAACACCACAUGUUAUGGCAGAAAAUAACCAUUUUUAAAGAAUAUAUUUCAUGUAUUGGGAAUUUAUAUUUAUUAUUUCCCAUUUCUAGUAUGUUGUAUUGUUUAAUUAUGCACGUUGUUAUAACGUGCAUUCCAUGAAUAAAGGUUGUCAUGGUUCACUCUAUGUUGAUCUAAUGUUAUUAAAGGCGCCGGGCGAUGCGAGGCCUCUUGCAAGAGGCAAGCUCCUUUCCUCGCCCGGCUCAAGGUGCAAGGUGAGGGGAGGGGAGGCAAGGCAAGGUGAGGCGAGGCAAGGUGAGGCAUCGCCUCUUGAAAACAACAUGCAAGCCUUUUUUUGUUCUUUCUUUUUAAAGACUAAAUCCUAAUACAUAUUUCCCUUUGAAGCAGUCCGAUUGGAGAACUAAAUUUUAGGUACUAAAUAGAGAUAUAUCCCCAUAAUUAUGCCUUAUUAAUUAGGAAUUUAUAUCCUAUAAUUAUGCUAAUUAAUUGGAGAUGUAUUAAUUUCUAAUUAGUUUGCAUAAUUAUAGGGAUAUAUAUAUGUUAUCUGAUUAGUAAAGAAAUAAUAAUAUUUAUAUAGUUCACUUCCAUCAUUCAAGUAUAUUCCAAUAUUGAAAAAGAUUAUAUAUUUAUAUACAAGUAUGCCUAUAAUUCAGCCAUCUAAUUAGGAAUAUACAUCCUCACAAUUAUGCUAACUGAUUAACUAAUGAAGAAGGAAUUAUUACAAUAUCUAUACAUAAAUGUGUACAUUUAUGUCUGUACAUUAUACAUACACAUACAUGUAUAUACACACUAACACAGACAUAUAUGUGUAUAUAAGUAUGGCGCCCCACUUCAAAAAGGCGUCACUUUGCCUCUCGCAGCGAUAGGGGACCUGUCACCUUAGUGUUGCCUCUUGCCUUGAUAACCUUGUGUUGAUCCAACAUGAUACAAGUGUUUUUGCCUUUUGGGGUUGCAGUUAGGAGUUCCUUAAGAAGCUCCCAUCGCCAAUUAAAAAUAACUUGUUUCCUAACCCAUUUACUGACAGAUCUUUGUUUUAUUUAUGAGUUUCGAGAAAAGGGUAUGAGUUCAUCUAUAGUUUAGACUGUGGUAAAAUAGAAAGUACAGGAUUUUCAACUAUAGGCCCGUUUAUGUAAGUAGUGGCACUGUGACACAUCACUUUACUUCUUGGCAGUUGGCACAAACUUCCUCAUUUAGAAUACCCAAUAUAUUGAUUAUAUGUAACAGUAUAGAAAUACUUUAACCAGAGGUGAUUUGGAGUUUAUUCAAUAAAUCGAGUACCUUCUGAUAUUCUACCAUUGACAAAUGUAUCCAGCUCAGUUGACCCUUGUUUCAUAAGCCUGUGUCGAGUCUGUUGAAAAGCUGUCCAGUUUGACAUCCAAUUGUGUUGCAUGCCUUUAAUCAGACUGCAAAUCCUCGCAAAGGACUUUCUUGACAUCAAAUUCAUAUUGCCUGCUUGCAUCAUUAGUGUUUUGUGUCUGCUUGUUUAUGUUUCUUUUUAAACAUGGAAUUACUGGAUUUUGCAAUUGCAUUUGGGGCUUGUUUUCUUGGACUAUUGACAUGCCACCCAAAAAAAAAAAAGGAGAAAAUGAACAUAUAGGGAUUUUCCAGUUGCAAAUUGUAUUUUUGGUGCUAGAAUUCAACUAUUUCAGUGAUUAGUUUUAAAGCUGCAGCAGGUUACUUGACAUUCUUCUCUACAGGCUUUUCUGAAGGAAGAUACUGCUAUAGUUCAACUUGUUAUAUUUGAUGAUGAAAUUGGGUGCUUUGUUUAUCUACUGUUCACCAGUUUUGAUACUCAUUUGUUUGGAUCAGGAUUCGGUUAGAGGUAUGCUGUAGUUCAUCAUGAUGCAUAAACAUAAUAAUAGUGCCUUUGUCAUUUUGAAGGCGUCAACAGGAAGCGGAGCUAAAACUUAUAGAAGAGGAGACAGCAAAGAGGGUAGAAGAAGCUAUUCGGAGGAAAGUUGAAGAGAGCUUGAAUUCUGAGGAGAUCAAGCUGGAGAUACAAAGACGUUUGGAGGAGGGAAGAAAAAGACUUAAUGAAGAAGUUGCCAUUCAACUUGAGAAAGAAAAAGGAGUUGCUCUUAUUGAGGCUAGGAGAAAAGAGGAACAAGCUCGAAAGGAGAAAGAAGAGCUGGAAAAAAUGCUCGAGGAGAACCGAAGGAGGGUGGAAGAAGCUCAGAGAAGGGAAGCAUUAGAACAACAGCAGAGAGAGGAGGAACGGUAUCGAGAAUUAGAAGAGCUUCAAAGACACAAAGAAGAAGCAAUGAAAAGAAAGAAGCAGCAGGA
Molecule: RNA transcript, 4356 nt
Organism: Manihot esculenta (cassava)
Lineage: Eukaryota; Viridiplantae; Streptophyta; Magnoliopsida; Malpighiales; Euphorbiaceae
Exons: 6
Source: RefSeq, a predicted model, not a curated record